RNA transcript from Mercenaria mercenaria, 2874 nucleotides. RefSeq lists it as uncharacterized. Lineage: Eukaryota; Metazoa; Mollusca; Bivalvia; Venerida; Veneridae. The transcript has 11 exons. The record is from RefSeq and is a predicted model, not a curated record.
AUUUACCAGAACCUAAUGACCCAUAUGCAGACAUAGAGUCGUACGUAACUGGGGAAACUGACAUUAUAUUAUUAGACCCAGUGCUGGUAAACCCAUGCUCAUAUAAAUCAUUAGAAGUAGUACUUGAUAACAUAAUUGACAAUGCAAAUAAGAAGUGGGUAUUAGUUGGAUGCGACGGCCUGCCAUACAGCCUAUGUUCGAAAAUUAUUAACAAUUACUAUGUAUGUCCUCAUUGUGAAGAAAACUACCAAAAAAGGAACCUAUUUGAAAAUCACGUUAUGAAAGAAAAUUUAAACCUUGAUAUCAAAGAAUGCCAAAAAUACAAAAAUAUUUUACUGAUACCUGGAUUUGGGCACAUAGAUAUAAAUGUAACGAAAGCACUUUUUAAAUUGAUGUGGAAAGUUUGCAUUAAAGAUUUAGCCGUGAUUUUGGGAUGGAAGAGUCUUAAAGCUUUAACAGCAUGUGAAAACUGUACUGACCAUCACAAGGCUACCCAAAUUCUUCAAAUACUUUUCGAAAGCCUUAAAAUGGAAUUAUUAAAACCAUUUGUUGCCGAAUGUGAAGAAAAACAUGAACAUCCUACUAUUGAACAAUUAUAUGAAUAUGUGGGAAAACAAAGUAAAAAUUACAUUUUUCAUUUCAAAUGUACAUUUACAUACCUGUUCGCGUGGAAAAUGUUGAAGAAAGGAAUGCGUAGAGCAAAUUAUAACUAUAUCAAAAUGAGUAUGGACAAACUGUCAACUUUGUUUUAUGGCUUAAAUAUGACAACCUAUAUGGAUUUGUGGUUCAGGUUUGAUAAUACCGUGCUGCAAGCCCCACCAGAGGUACAAGAUUUCAUUAAAAAAAACAUAUGUAUGUCACAGUCGGGACAUCCGAGUAAAGCCGAAGGAGGGGAUUUUAUUCUUGAACGUACCAAUAAGAAAAUUAAGUCAUACAUGCCCCAUGGAGUUCCGACUGAUGAGAGAUGGACAAGAGUGUGCAGAAGUAUUGACAACAUUGAAGAGAUCAAACGUGCAUUCAUUUCAAAAGAUCAGCAUACAGAUGGGGAUGAUAGAACGACGAAUAAGUAUUUCAGGAAGUUCAGUGCACCUGAUGCUGUAGAAGAUUAUUCCAAUAAGAUUAGAAUGUAUUUAACUGGCGGAGGACAGCACACAUCUACAGACGACAAACCACUGGAUCAUGAUCUUGUUAACUUCGAUGUUAAAUGCGAAGCAAACAAAAGUAAAUACUAUGAGAACUUUCCAGAUGUACUGAGGAUUUGUGAAAGAAUAUUCAUUACACCGGAUGACAGAAGUAAUCAUUUCGACAUUACCCAAAAAGACAAAGAAACUAUCCAGAAGAUGAUAAUCAAUGUGUUGAAGGACAUACAUGAUGCUGGAGGUAUAGAAGAAUCAACAGUUUUAACUCAGCAGUGGUCAAAGGACGUCAAAAAUGGAAAGAAAAAUAUAUUGCUGACAUUUUACAGAGAAGUCGUGCAGUAUUUGCAAGACAUCACAAACAGAAAUGCUACCCUAGAAAAUGAAGCGGAACAGGAGGAAUCCGACUAACCUCUGUAAUGACAACAUCGGCGUUUGAUUGGUCUGACACCAGCCCUUCUUCAUAUGAGUCAAAGUAUUCAUCCCUUAUCUCCAGUCUGGUACUGUCUCCUGUCAUGGUAGCAUACUCAAGUGCCUGAAAUGGAAUAUUGAAAAUAUUCAACUACUUGUUUUGAAAUUAUCAACAUCGGAUAUUGAGGCACUUGAAGAAUAAAGACGCAAGCGGCUUUAAAGAUACAGACUUAAGAAAAUAUUAUUUUUGUUUAUCAUGAACAGAGCAUUUGAAUGUGCACACAGACCUUGACUCCGCAGAAAGAAAUACUCAAACUGUCCGACGAGCGACCCGAACUCUCCGACAAUAGCCGGAACUGUCCAUCGAGGAACACGAACCGUCCGACAAGAAGCGGAUUCCUGGAUCACACACGAAGAAAAUGUUAGUUGAUGGAACUCGAGAGAAUGCAGGACUGUCUUGCUGUUACCCUGACGAUGCCGGCCACCAGAGAUGUGGUGUUACCCAAACGGUGGCAGUUGCCAGAAGCGUUGUUGUACACAACUGAUGCCUGUCGCCAGAUGUGCGCUGGUACUCGGUCGGUGCCGGUCAUCAGAGGUGUGCUGGGACUCUGUCAUACCGGCACUUUAUUAACAUGACGAUCACCUUUUUUCAAAGAUAGUCAUCCAGUUUGCAUGCAAAAGUCCUUCUUUCUAGUAGACGACACCAAUCACUUCUAGCAGAAGAAAUCAGCUGCUUCUAGCAGACGACACCAUUUGCUUCCAGCAAACGACAACAGUUACUUCUGGCAGACGACACCAUUUGCUUCUAGCAGACGACAACGGUUGCUUCUGGCAGACGGUGCAAAAGUGCUUAUAGCAUUCGACACCAGUUGAUUCUACCAGACGACUCAAGGGGAGGAGCGUUACGGCGAUGGACAAGAUACAAUGGUUUUCGAGGAAUUCAAGCCUUGACUGAUCUGGCGUCUAUAUUUGUCCCGUCGUGUUGUUUGUAGUAGACAGCUUUUUCAUCCUUGAAGUCCAGGCUGACAGACAAAGUCUUCGUUAUGGUAAAUAAAAACAUAACUUCAUAUUAUGCCCUGCUCUGCUAGUUUGGAUUUUAUUUGACAUGAAUUACUGUUUAACUUGAUUGACAGCCUCACACACAUUGUCGAACUUUGUUAUGAUUGAGAGUAUUACACUCUAUGCCUGAAGUCGCUGUUCCGAAUUCCGGUGAGAAAAGAAUUAAACGUGGUACUAGUAUUUGAUGAGAUGCGAGUACUACGAUUUUAAUAACUCCUGUCUAUCAACCAAAUGUCUAAGUAAAUUAAUUAGGAUUUUUAAAAAAAUG